Molecule: long non-coding RNA, 1327 nt
Filed under: Anser brachyrhynchus (Pink-footed goose)
Lineage: Eukaryota; Metazoa; Chordata; Aves; Anseriformes; Anatidae
Description: lncRNA (ENSABRG00000012990.1)
Source: RNAcentral
GGAGGUUGUAGACACCCAGAUGAAGAGAUGGACUGUGAAAAUUCUGAUGACACACAGAUGAGACAGGGUGGAAAGGUAAAAGAUUCUUAAUCACUUUCAGGUCCUAAGGGUUAACAAAGGCACAUGUGAAGGCAGGACAUAAUCACCAACCUGGGAAGAACCUAGCAGACUUUAGGAGGCCUGAAUAGCUCUUGUCACUUGUCCUUAGUGUCAUUGUCAAGCCUGACUCUACCACUGGAUACAUGCCUUGGUGCUUCAGUACUGGUCAGAGUGCUUGGGUGCAUCAAUCUUGGAGCCAGACUCCUUGGAAACAUGGUGGUGGAGUUGCUGAAUUCCUACUGAUGGAAAGAGUGAACUUGAAGAAUCAACAGAUGUUUUCACCAAGUUGAAUGAAUAGAAUAAUUUUAUAUCCUGGGAAAAACAGCAUUGACAAUGAUUAAGUGUAUGUAUACAUACUUCUUCCUUGCUGGACUAAGCUGCAACAUGAUACAUGGAAAGUUAGUCUGUAUCUUCAGUAUUUCUGCUGUGCCUACUGAAUAAGCAAUAGACUUGGAAUGGACUUCAGCAAGAAACUGGAAACAAUAGAUAACAGAGAAAAGUCCACAACCACAAAAAGUACAGGCAAUUGAAAUAAUUAAAUGGUGAAGAAAAAGAUACAAGAAAACCAAGUGUGGGAACAUGUACAUAGAUUGCCAACUUGCCUUUGUGGAAGAGACGUGAGAUGGACAGGAAAAGUAAUUUAUGAACUAUGGACUCUAAAAGAGAUAAGAGAUUUUUCUGCCUCUUCAAGAAGAACUAGAAAACCAGAAGAUACCUGCUUCAAUUCUGAAACCAUCUUCAUUUGUCUUAGUCCAUAGAUACCUUUGCUUAGCUAUUUGUUAACGUAUCCAGAAAGAUCUAAGGUGUAUACUGCACACAGAGUUGUGUCGUGUAGAUAAUUAACUAGUUACUUGACCAAGAAAUGUUUUUGUGUGUGACUUGGGGAGAAAAAAAAAAGUUAGACUUCGUUCUAUUUUAAUGCAAAAGUCCUUUUUGGAUUCUGUGCUGCUUAUGAGCACUUUCAUCUCUGAAUUUGUGCAAGGCUGUAUAUUGUUUUGCAGUAAAGAAACAAGCAAAGAACAGAUCAGAAUUUAUAAAAGUGAGAUUAGGAAUAUGUUGCAAUUUACUUAUUUUUAUUAGCUUUUGGUCAUUACAUGUUGCAUUUUCUUUUUAAGUAUCUGGCAUGUUUUUCAGCUUAACCUUUUCUAUUUGUCUUUUUUUUUUUUUAACUGAAAUGUGUGUGUUUAGUUCAAAUAAAAAAGGCACUUAGUAUAGACUUUCUUUGGUC